UACAGAGGGUGCGAGCGUUAAUCGGAAUUACUGGGCGUAAAGCGUGCGCAGGCGGCUCCUUGAGUCAGAUGUGAAAGCCCCGGGCUUAACCUGGGAACUGCGUUUGAAACUGGGGAGCUGGAGUGUAGAAGAGGGGGGUGGAAUUCCUGGUGUAGCGGUGAAAUGCGCAGAUAUCAGGAGGAACACCUAUGGCGAAGGCAGCUCGCUGGGACGCAACUGACGCUGAGACGCGAAAGCGUGGGGAGCAAACAGG
RNAcentral lists this ribosomal RNA (253 nucleotides) under uncultured bacterium. RNAcentral's name for it is "partial 16S ribosomal RNA". It matches the Rfam family "Bacterial small subunit ribosomal RNA", at positions 524 to 776 of the family's 1533-position model. The record is from RNAcentral.